RNAcentral lists this non-coding RNA (25 nucleotides) under Rattus norvegicus (Norway rat). Lineage: Eukaryota; Metazoa; Chordata; Mammalia; Rodentia; Muridae. The record is from RNAcentral.
UGGCACUCCUGAGUCACAUCGCUCC